RNAcentral lists this ribosomal RNA (784 nucleotides) under uncultured bacterium. Its description in RNAcentral is "bacterial SSU rRNA". It matches the Rfam family "Bacterial small subunit ribosomal RNA", at positions 8 to 796 of the family's 1533-position model. The record is from RNAcentral.
AGAGUUUGAUCAUGGCUCAGAAUGAACGUUGGCGGCGUGGAUUAGGCAUGCAAGUCGAGCGAGAAGGGUUUUGUUGCUUGCAAUUGAACCCGGAAAGCGGCGUAAGGGAGAGUAACGCGUAGUUACGUACCCCGGGGUCCGGAAUAGCUGCGGGAAACUGCAGGUAAUGCCGGAUAAUAUCCCCGGAUCAAAGGUGUGAUUCCGCCCUGGGAGCGGACUGCGUUGUACUAGCUUGUUGGUGGGGUAAUGGCCUACCAAGGCGAUGAUGCAUACCGGGCGUGAGAGCGUGGCCCGGCUCACUGGGACUGAGACACUGCCCAGACACCUACGGGUGGCUGCAGUCGAGAAUCUUCGGCAAUGCGCGCAAGCGUGACCGAGCGACGCCGCGUGCGGGAUGAAGGCCCUCGGGUUGUAAACCGUAAAAGUUGGGAGGAAGUCCAUAGGGGUUCUCCCCUAUGGUUGACCUAUCUUCAGUAAGGACGGGCUAAGUUCGUGCCAGCAGCCGCGGUAAUACGAACCGUCCAAACGUUAUUCGGAAUUAUUGGGCUUAAAGGGUACGUAGGCUGCGCUAUAAGUCGGGUGUGAAAUCCCUCGGCUCAACCGAGGAAUUGCGCCCGAUACUGUAGUGCUUGAGGGAGACAGGGGUAAGCGGAACUGAUGGUGGAGCGGUGAAAUGCGUUGAUAUCAUCAGGAACACCAGUGGCGAAAGCGGCUUACUGGGUCUCUUCUGACGCUGAGGUACGAAAGCUAGGGUAGCGAACGGGAUUAGAUACCCCAGUAGUCC